GGAGUUCAGAUGAUGAUCAAUUGCAUAGUUCAAAUGAAUGUUUGUGAUUAGAAAAGUUUUAGUCUUUCCGAUGAACUCA
This is a non-coding RNA of Helianthus annuus (common sunflower), 79 nucleotides long. NCBI's taxonomy places the organism in Eukaryota, Viridiplantae, Streptophyta, Magnoliopsida, Asterales, Asteraceae. The record is from Rfam.